RNAcentral lists this non-coding RNA (26 nucleotides) under Rattus norvegicus (Norway rat). Lineage: Eukaryota; Metazoa; Chordata; Mammalia; Rodentia; Muridae. The record is from RNAcentral.
UACGUUGGGUGUAUUAGAUUAGCUAC